UCCUGACACAGGGAGGUAGUGACAAGAAAUAACAAUACAGGGCUAUUUUAGUCUUGUAAUUGGAAUGAGUACAAUUUACAUCUCUUCACGAGGAUCAAUUGGAGGGCAAGUCUGGUGCCAGCAGCCGCGGUAAUUCCAGCUCCAAUAGCGUAUAUUAAAGUUGUUGCAGUUAAAACGCUCGUAGUCGGAUUUCGGGGCGAACCCGCCGGUCUGCCGUUGGGUAUGCACUGGUGGGCGCGUCCUUCCUUCCGGAGACCGUUCCUACUCUUAGCUGAGCGGGGACGGGAGACGGAUCGUUUACUUUAAAAAAAUCAGAGUGUUUCAAGCAGGCAUUUGCUCUUGCAUGGAUUAGCAUGGGAUAAUGAAAUAGGACUUUGGUGCUAUUUUGUUGGUUUCGAACACCGAAGUAAUGAUUAACAGGGACA
Molecule: ribosomal RNA, 425 nt
Filed under: Haptophyta environmental samples
Lineage: Eukaryota; Haptophyta
Description: SSU rRNA
Rfam family: Eukaryotic small subunit ribosomal RNA
Source: RNAcentral